Molecule: transfer RNA, 71 nt
Filed under: Cordylochernes scorpioides
Lineage: Eukaryota; Metazoa; Arthropoda; Arachnida; Pseudoscorpiones; Chernetidae
Description: tRNA-Thr
Source: RNAcentral
GUCCAGGGCUAGGAAUCGAACCCAGUGUUCCGCUUACCGGGUAGAUGCCAUGUCCACUAGGCUACCCUGGA